AUACUUACCUGGCAGGGGAGAUACCAUGACCAUGAUGAUGGUUUUUCCCAGGGCAAGACUUAUCCAUUGCACUCCAGAUGUGAAGACCCCUGUGGUCUCCCCAAAUGUGGGAACCUCAACUGCAUACUUUGGGGUAGCGGGGCACUAUAUUUCUGAUCUCCCCUG
This is a small nuclear RNA of Echinops telfairi (small Madagascar hedgehog), 165 nucleotides long. Its record names the gene U1. It matches the Rfam family "U1 spliceosomal RNA". Rfam says of the family: U1 is a small nuclear RNA (snRNA) component of the spliceosome (involved in pre-mRNA splicing). Its 5' end forms complementary base pairs with the 5' splice junction, thus defining the 5' donor site of an intron. NCBI's taxonomy places the organism in Eukaryota, Metazoa, Chordata, Mammalia, Afrosoricida, Tenrecidae. The record is from Ensembl.